This 414-nucleotide unclassified non-coding RNA is filed under the name Hevea brasiliensis (rubber tree). It matches the Rfam family "Bacterial large subunit ribosomal RNA", at positions 1409 to 1919 of the family's 2925-position model. The record is from RNAcentral. Lineage: Eukaryota; Viridiplantae; Streptophyta; Magnoliopsida; Malpighiales; Euphorbiaceae.
GCGUAGUCGAUGGGAACCACGUGAAUAUUCGUGGGCCAGUGGAUGGUGACGAAUCUCGUAUGUUGUCUGACCUUAUUGGAUUGGUCGGGCCUCGACGGGGGUCCCGGAAANUGAAGGGGUCCCAGGAAAUAGCCUCCGCGUAAGACCGUACCCGAAACCGACACAGGUGGACUGGUAGAGUAUACCAAGGCGCUUGAGAGAACUAUGUUGAAGGAACUCGGCAAUUUACCUCCGUAACUUCGGGAUAAGGGGGCCCUCUAUGUACGCAAGUGCAUAGGGGGGGCACAGACCAGGGGGUGGCAACUGUUUAGCAAAAACACAGGGCUCUGCGAAAUCGCAAGAUGACGUAUAGGGUCUGACGCCUGCCCGGUGCCGGAAGGUUAAGAGGAGGAGUGCAAGCUCUGAAUUGAAGCC